Molecule: ribosomal RNA, 533 nt
Filed under: uncultured Acidobacteriota bacterium
Lineage: Bacteria; Pseudomonadati; Acidobacteriota
Description: bacterial SSU rRNA
Rfam family: Bacterial small subunit ribosomal RNA
Source: RNAcentral
AGAGUUUGAUCAUGGCUCAGAAUGAACGCUGGCGGCGUGCUUAACACAUGCAAGUCGUGCGCGAAGGAGGCUUCGGUCUCCGGAGAGCGGCGAACGGGUGAGUAACACGUGGGUAAUCUGCCUGGGAGCGUGGGAUAACCUGGGGAAACUCGGGCUAAUACCGCGUACGUUGGUGGACUACGGUUCUGUCAAGAAAGCUGGCCUCUGUUUACAAGCUAGCGCUCCCAGAGGAGCCCGCGGCUGAUUAGCUAGUUGGUGAGGUAAUGGCUCACCAAGGCUUCGAUCAGUAGCCGGCCUGAGAGGGUGAUCGGCCACACUGGGACUGAGACACGGCCCAGACUCCUACGGGAGGCAGCAGUGGGGAAUAUUGGACAAUGGGCGCAAGCCUGAUCCAGCAACGCCGCGUGGAGGAUGAAGGUCUUCGGAUCGUAAACUCCUGUCAGAUGGGACGAAGUUUCGGAGGCAAAUAGUUUCCGAGAUUGACGGUACCAUCAGAGGAAGCCCCGGCUAACUCCGUGCCAGCAGCCGCGGUA